CCUACGGGAGGCAGCAGUGAGGAAUAUUGGUCAAUGGACGGAAGUCUGAACCAGCCAUGCCGCGUGCAGGAAGACGGCUCUAUGAGUUGUAAACUGCUUUUGUACAAGGGUAAACCUGAAUACGUGAAUUCAGCUGAAUGUACUGUACGAAUAAGGAUCGGCUAACUCCGUGCCAGCAGCAGUGGUAAUACGGAAGAUACAAGCGUUAUCCGGUUUUGUUGGGUUUAAAGGGUGCGUAGGCGGCUUGAUAAGUUAUAGGUGAAAUGUCCGAGCUUAACUCGGGAACUGCCUCUAAUACUGUUGAUCUAGAGAGUAAAUGCGGUAGGCGGAAUGUAUGGUGUAGCGGUGAAAUGCUUAGAGAUCAUACAGAACACCGAUUGCGAAGGCAGCUUACUAAUCUAUAUCUGACGUUGAGGCACGAAAGCGUGGGGAGCAAACAGGAUUAGAUACCCGGGUAGUC
Molecule: ribosomal RNA, 460 nt
Filed under: uncultured bacterium
Lineage: Bacteria
Description: partial 16S ribosomal RNA
Rfam family: Bacterial small subunit ribosomal RNA
Source: RNAcentral